Molecule: ribosomal RNA, 478 nt
Filed under: uncultured bacterium
Lineage: Bacteria
Description: partial 16S ribosomal RNA
Rfam family: Bacterial small subunit ribosomal RNA
Source: RNAcentral
GACGAACGCUGGCGGCGUGCUUAACACAUGCAAGUCGAGCGGAGAUAAUAGCAAUAUUAUCUUAGCGGCGGACGGGUGAGUAACGCGUGGGCAACCAGCCUCGGACUGGGGGAUAACACAGGGAAACUUGUGCUAAUACCGCAUAACAUCAUGAGAUGACAUCAUCAUAUGAUCAAAGGAGUAAUCCGGUUUGAGAUGGGCCCGCGUCCGAUUAGCUAGUUGGUGGUGUAACGGACCACCAAGGCGACGAUCGGUAGCCGAACGGAGAGGUGGAUCGGCCACAGUGGGACUGAGACACGGCCCAGACACCUACGGGAGGCAGCGGUGGGGAAUAUUGCACAAUGGGGGAAACCCUGAUGCAGCACCGCCGCGUGAAGGAUAAAGGUUUUCGGAUUGUAAACUUCUUUGAUGAGGGACGAAUAAAUGACGGUACCUCAAAAACAAGCCACGGCUAACUACGUGCCAGCCGCCGCCGUAA